This 393-nucleotide ribosomal RNA is filed under the name uncultured bacterium. Its description in RNAcentral is "bacterial SSU rRNA". It matches the Rfam family "Bacterial small subunit ribosomal RNA", at positions 505 to 898 of the family's 1533-position model. The record is from RNAcentral.
GUGCCAGCCGCCGCGGUAAUACGUAGGGGGCAAGCGUUGUCCGGAAUUAUUGGGCGUAAAGGGUGCGUAGGCGGCCUUUUAAGUCAGAUGUGAAAGCCCACGGCUUAACCGUGGGAUUGCAUUUGAAACUGGAAGGCUUGAGUAUCGGAGAGGGUAGUGGAAUUCCCAGUGUAGCGGUGAAAUGCGUAGAUAUCGGGAGGAACACCAGUGGCGAAGGCGGCUUUCUGGCCUGUAACUGACGCUGAUGCGCGAAAGCUGGGGGAGCAAACAGGAUUAGAUACCCUGGUAGUCCAUGCUGUAAACGAUGACAACUUGUUGAUGGGAGGGUUACCUUUCGUUGACGUAGCUAACGUGUUAAGUUGUCCGCCUGGGGAGUACGGUCGCAAGGCUGAA